UACAGAGGUGGCAAGCGUUGUUCGGAAUUACUGGGCGUAAAGGGCGCGUAGGCGGUCAGGUCAGUCCCGUGUGAAAUCCCUCGGCUCAACUGAGGAACUGCACGGGAAACUGCCUGGCUUGAGUUCGGGAGAGGGAAGCGGAAUUCCGGGUGUAGCGGUGAAAUGCGCAGAUAUUGGGAGGAACACCAGUGGCGAAGGCGGCUCACUGGACUGGUACUGACGCUGAGGCGCGAAAGCGUGGGGAGCAAACGGG
Molecule: ribosomal RNA, 253 nt
Filed under: uncultured bacterium
Lineage: Bacteria
Description: partial 16S ribosomal RNA
Rfam family: Bacterial small subunit ribosomal RNA
Source: RNAcentral